CAUAUGUCCGGAUAUGCCAUCGAGCCUGUCCAUCCAUGCCUAAGCCUGGUGAUAACCUUGGUGGCCAUCACAUACCCCAGCUGGGACUGCUGAAUAUGUUGAUUCAGAGCUCACUAGGAGUUCUGGAGCAUCCAGAGAAAAAGGCAGGGAUGAGAUUGGCGAUGAGCCUCUUCUGCUGACCUGGUGUUAACCCUGUUUUUAUUCAGCCGCAUCUACAAAAGAAUCCAGGGCACUGGACCCAGAAGCCAUCGGCAGGCUUUGAGCUGAGGAAUCACACGGCUUACAAAAUACAUCAAUGCAAAAGAAAAUCAAGAUUUCAAUAAAUAUAUUGGGUGAGGAAAUCAAGGCCAAAUUACAAUGUGGAAGUCUAAUCAGAUGAACACAAAGCACAUGCCAUAAGGUUCUAUGCAUUUACUGCCAGUUGGCCAGAGAUGUGGAUCUACGGUUUCAAGCUGCCUAAAUAGAAAGAGAGAAAGUUGGGGCACCUGGGUGGCUCAGUGGUUGACCGUCUGCCUUUUGCUCAGGUCAGUGAUCCCGGGGUCCUGGGUUGAGUCCCGCAUCGGGCUCCCUGCAGGGAGCCUGCUUCUCCCUCUGCCUGUGUCUCUGCCUCUCUGUCUCUCAUGAAUAAAUAAAUAACAUCUUAAAAAAAAAAAGAAGAGGAAAGGUGAUCACCAACAGGAGUCACAGUAUCCCUGAGGUCAAACCUGAAUGACUGCACAGAAGGAAUAACUAUGCUGUUCCCUGAGGUAGGUUUCUCCCAGGAGUCAUCCAAGGGAGGUUACCGUAUAAUGAGUGAACUUCCUCUCCAACACUGUCCCAACACCUCUCAGAUACAACAGUAACAUUCAUGGACAUUUUUUUUUUUUUUUUACAACACUCCUGUGUGAGCACAGUUGAACAAAGUAGUUUGUUUCCUUACCCUCACCACCACUACCAAAUUGUUUGUGAACAGUGUUCAUUGAUUCGUGGGUGCCCUAAUGUGUUUUCUUUGCUUGUCUGUUUCACUGUUUGGUGUGCUAUUUAUCGUCUGUUUUUGUUCCUCAGGGUUAUUUACCCUCUGCCUAUUAUACGUGUUAGAAACAGU
Long non-coding RNA from Canis lupus familiaris (dog), 1084 nucleotides. RefSeq lists it as uncharacterized. NCBI's taxonomy places the organism in Eukaryota, Metazoa, Chordata, Mammalia, Carnivora, Canidae. The record is from RefSeq and is a predicted model, not a curated record. The transcript has 2 exons.